CGGCGGGCGGGUGAGUAACGCGUGGGUAACCUACCCUGUACACACGGAUAACAUACCGAAAGGUAUGCUAAUACGGGAUAAUAUAUUUGAGAGGCAUCUCUUAAAUAUCAAAGGUGAGCCAGUACAGGAUGGACCCGCGUCUGAUUAGCUAGCUGGUAAGGUAACGGCUUACCAAGGCGACGAUCAGUAGCCGACCUGAGAGGGUGACCGGCCACAUUGGGACUGAGACACAGCCCAA
Molecule: ribosomal RNA, 238 nt
Filed under: uncultured bacterium
Lineage: Bacteria
Description: partial 16S ribosomal RNA
Rfam family: Bacterial small subunit ribosomal RNA
Source: RNAcentral